CAAAGGUUAAUUCCGGUGGCGGAUGGGCAUGCGUCGCAUUAGUUAGUUGGCGGUGUAACAGACCACCAAGACGACGAUGCGUAGGGGUUCUGAGAGGAAGGUCCCCCACACUGGUACUGAGACACGGACCAGACUCCUACGGGAGGCAGCAGUGAGGAAUAUUGGUCAAUGGGCGGGAGCCUGAACCAGCCAAGUCGCGUGAGGGAUGACGGCCCUAUGGGUUGUAAACCUCUUUUGCCGGGGAGCAAAGUGCCGCACGUGUGCGGUUUGGAGAGUACCCGGAGAAAAAGCAUCGGCUAACUCCGUGCCAGCAGCCGCGGUAAUACGGAGGAUGCGAGCGUUAUCCGGAUUUAUUGGGUUUAAAGGGUGCGUAGGCGGACGCUUAAGUCAGCGGUAAAAUUGCGGGGCUCAACCUCGUCGAGCCGUUGAAACUGGGUGCCUUGAGUGGGCGAGAAGUACGCGGAAUGCGUGGUGUAGCGGUGAAAUGCAUAGAUAUCACGCAGAACUCCGAUUGCGAAGGCAGCGUACCGGCGCCCAACUGACGCUGAAGCACGAAGGCGUGGGUAUCGAACAGGAUUAGAUACCCUGGUAGUCCACGCAGUAAACGAUGAAUGCUAGUUGUCCGGGGCGAUUGAGUUCUGG
Molecule: ribosomal RNA, 642 nt
Filed under: uncultured bacterium
Lineage: Bacteria
Description: bacterial SSU rRNA
Rfam family: Bacterial small subunit ribosomal RNA
Source: RNAcentral